UUUUUCUUUUAUGGCCACAGGAUAUGGAAGUUCCCAGCCUAGGGGUUGAAUUGAAACAGCAGCUGCUGACCUAUGCCACAGCCACAGCAACGCUGGAUGUGAGAUAUGUCUGCUACCUACACAACAUGUGGCAGCAGCACCGGAUACUUAACCUACUGAAUGAGGCCAGAGAAUGAACCCACAUCCUCUAGGACGCUAUGUUGGAUCCUUAACCCACUGAGUCACAAUGGGAACUCCCACAUGUGCUUUCUGAGGUCAAAAUAACACCAGCAGAUAUAUCUCUGGGGUCAUGCACAAUUAAAACCAAAUGAAGAUGGCACAUAUUUUUAGGAGAUGAACGGGAGGUGUCAGAAAUAGCUAACUAAUUUUAUUCUUCCAAAUAUUUAUGCUUCAAUAUCCAGGCUUAUUGCAGUUGUAAUCGGAGAAGCCUAACACAGUAGAGAAUUUAUGUCAGGCUGCAGUUGGUCACUAUUUGGACAAAGUUUUUAGCAGACUCAGAGUUCUGGCUAUACCAGGAAAUGUUUCAGGAGCAACAGCAGCAACUACUUUUCUGUGCUUAUUAUAAAUCAGGGUAGGUUUAAAAUUUUCACAUGUGUAAGCUAAUUUAAUUUAAAUCAUAUUUCUUUACUUAUAAAUAGACAAUAUAAAACUAAAUGGAUUUGAUUCCUGCUGAAAAUAAUUUAGGAAAAUUUACAACUCUCAUCUCAAUUUUUUUCCUUAAAUUGCUCUACAUCACCAACAAUAAAAAUCUCUAGGUAUCUAGACCCCAACUAAUGACCACUGAAAACUUUAUUAAGUACAUCAGCAACACAAACUGCGGACUACCAGCCUGGUCUCCUGGCACUGGAAUCCCUAUAGUCUGCUGCUCAGGGCUUUGCCUAAGCCAGUUAGAUAUGCCCUCUGCAACCUUGUUCUGAAUCUCACCUCCUUUCUGGGUUAAUUUUUGCUUUUAGACUCUGAGGAAUAAAGACAGACAGAGAUCACUGUAUGGAAAGUGAAAAAUUAUCAGUACCAUAAGCUUGGGUGAUUGCUGGAAUCAGAAAACCAUUAGAAAUUGAGUUAUUAGGAACAAUUUUGCUAUUUAUUCAUUUUUAUUUGUUGGAAAUGUGUUUCAUUCUGCAUAUUUCCUCACACUUGUCGGCCCUCUUCAUGAUUCUUAGUAAAAAUCCCAGGGAUACUAAGUGCAUAGUUCUGAACUUUGAAUAUGGUAUUAUAACCUGUGCAAUUUUAAUCACUGGGGAAGUUGGGGAUAGUUACAGCAGUGAUGUACUUGUUCUUAAAAGUAACAUAUGAUUUUCAUGAUUCAAUUACUGUAGCUGGUCUUCUUAUAAGAUAUAAAAUGCAAAUUUAGGAGUUAUCCUUACCUGAAAUUAGCAAUAAUUAUUUUUUUACUCACAAAAUUAAUUUUAAAAGUAGGAAAAUUGUCAAUAUUUAAAUAAAUCUUUACACAUACACCAAGUAUCCACUAGGGGUGGAUAUAGGCUAGCCAUAUAGGAUACUAAAAUGAUUAAAAUAUAGAUAUUAUCCAUGUGAUGUGUUUAGAGACUAGAGAAAUAAAUAAUGCUAUCUGAGGUAAUUAAUCACUAUAUGCUUUUCUCCCUUUCCACCAAUAAUGAGACAGAGUACUGCAGAAUAAGUGACGGAAAAAGAGAUUCAGGUCAUGAGGCAGUAGCGGAAAGACAGAGACAGAGAGACUUCUGGUAAUGUUCAUAAACGAUUAGAGGUAAAAGUAAAGAAAACAAAACUAAUUAGAUAUGAAACAGGAAAUUAAAAAUGCAGAUCCAUGUGAAAAAAAUGUCUCUGUUCAUUCGGACUGCUAUAACAAAAACAACAUAGAUUGAGUGACUUCAACAACAAACAUUUAUUUCUCAUAUCUGGGACAUCCAAGAAGAAGGAUCCUUCAGAUUCGGUGUCUGCUAAUAGCCUGCUUCCUGGUUCUUAAACUACUAUCUUCUUGCUAUGUCCUCACUUAGAAGUAGGGGUAUGGGAGCCCCGGGGGUGGGGUGGGGUCACUUGUAUAAGCUCCCUAAUCUCAUUCAUGCGGGCUCUGUUCUUAGGACCUAAUCACUUCCAAAGGUCUCACAUUCAAAUACGAUCACACUGAGAAUUAAGUUUCAAUAUACGAAUUUGGGGGGGACAUAAACUUUCAGCCUAAAAUAUCCAAGACACAAAAAUAAACAAAGAUCAAUAUGAAUAUAUAUGAUUAUUUGAGAGUUGAGGAGAGUAUCAGGUUGAUAAAUAUAGUAAGAGGUAAGGAUUUUAUAUCCAAGUUAGUUGUCCUUCUAAUACUAAGACUAUAGCAGCAUAUAGAACACUACAAAAUAGGAAUAACAACAUAUUUAAAAAGCAACAUUCAGGAAAUAUACUAGCCCACAAUUCUUUCUUGAGAAUCUACAAAAGGAUUACCUUCAUCUAAAGAAGAGAUAAUGGUGAAAAUACUAGCAAAAAGAAGGAGGGUUAACAUUUCAUAUAGUUAAAAAGUAGUUCUAAUUUCUUUAAAUGGAUAUAUACAUAUAUAUAUAAAUAUGUAUAAAUUAAACAUAUAAAUAUAUAUGCUCUGAUGAAGAAUUCAUAUAAUAAAAAGGGAGAUUAGAGAAAGAAAAAAUAUAGUUUAAUCCUACUACCCAAUGCAUAGUAAAUAGGUGUGAGUCAAAAAUAUCAAAGCAGUGUUAUCAAGUAUAACUACCAUAUUAUACAUAAGAUCCUCAGAUCUUGUAUGUACAACUGAAAAUUUUACCCUUUUACCAACCUCUCCCUAUUUCCUCCAGCCGCUAACUCCUGGCAACCACUUUUCUGCUCUCCACUUUAUGUUUUUAUAAGCUCAAAAAUUUUUUUUCACAUAUAAGUUGUAUGAUGCAGUGUUUACCUUCCUCUGUCUGGAAUUACUAAUGAAGGCUAAAUAAGAUAACAGGAGCCUAAGUUAAUUUUUAAAGGUAUAAGAACAGGGGUAACUAUUAGAACAAAAAUACAAACUUUCUUAAAUAUUGAAUUUUUUUAAUUAUGUAAGGAAUUACAUUGUACAGAGAAAAGAAAAAUAAAUACUUUAUAAUGAACAUAGUAUAACAUAAAAUAAUGUUAAAUUUGAGACCCUAUGUAUCA
This 3099-nucleotide long non-coding RNA is filed under the name Sus scrofa (pig). Its description in RNAcentral is "lncRNA (ENSSSCG00000056273.1)". Lineage: Eukaryota; Metazoa; Chordata; Mammalia; Artiodactyla; Suidae. The record is from RNAcentral.